GCGUUCGUAGCUCACCCGGAUAGAGUAACGGACUUCGAAUCCGUAGGUAGCAGGUUCGAGUCCUGCCGAACGCG
This 74-nucleotide transfer RNA is filed under the name Spirochaetaceae bacterium. RNAcentral describes it as "tRNA-Arg". It matches the Rfam family "tRNA". Rfam says of the family: Transfer RNA (tRNA) molecules are approximately 80 nucleotides in length. The record is from RNAcentral. Lineage: Bacteria; Pseudomonadati; Spirochaetota; Spirochaetia; Spirochaetales; Spirochaetaceae.